GAUGAACGCUAGCUACAGGCUUAACACAUGCAAGUCGAGGGGAAACGACAUCGAAAGCUUGCUUUUGAUGGGCGUCGACCGGCGCACGGGUGAGUAACGCGUAUCCAACCUGCCCAUCACUUGGGAAUAACCUUGCGAAAGUAAGACUAAUACCCAAUGAUAUCCCACGAAGGCAUCGGAAUGGGAUUAAAGAUUUAUCGGUGAUGGAUGGGGAUGCGUCUGAUUAGCUUGUUGGCGGGGUAACGGCCCACCAAGGCAACGAUCAGUAGGGGUUCUGAGAGGAAGGUCCCCCACAUUGGAACUGAGACACGGUCCAAACUCCUACGGGAGGCAGCAGUGAGGAAUAUGGGUCAAUGGGCGAGAGCCUGAACCAGCCAAGUAGCGUGCAGGAAGACGGCCCUAUGGGUGGUAAACUGCUUUUAUAAGGGAAUAAAGUGGGUCACGUGUGACUUUUUGCAUGUACCUUAUGAAUAAGGACCGGCUAAUUCCGUG
RNAcentral lists this ribosomal RNA (492 nucleotides) under uncultured bacterium. Its description in RNAcentral is "partial 16S ribosomal RNA". It matches the Rfam family "Bacterial small subunit ribosomal RNA", at positions 28 to 507 of the family's 1533-position model. The record is from RNAcentral.